Molecule: long non-coding RNA, 763 nt
Filed under: Citrus x clementina
Lineage: Eukaryota; Viridiplantae; Streptophyta; Magnoliopsida; Sapindales; Rutaceae
Description: Citrus clementina (C. clementina) long non-coding RNA (CCLE_LNC005541)
Source: RNAcentral
CACAAUCCACUUCUUCACCGCCUUCAAUAUGCCCAACAUCCACUCCAUCGUCAUCCCAAUUUAAUCCAUUUUCAUCAUCAAUAGGUGUUAUGUCUUCAUUAUCGUCAUUUGACCAAUAUGCUUCAUCAUCUUCUUGUUCAUUUGACCAAUAUGUUUCAGAUUUUGGGAUGAGUGAUCAACCUGAGACUUCAGAUCUGUGUCAUGCAGGCCACUAUUUGUUGCCAUCUGCACACCAGUACAUGCUUUUCAUUGGUAAAUUAAGCACGAAAUUCACAUGCUUCAUGACCAUAAUACACUACCCAGGUGAAUAUUCUACCCAAAUAUUGCAUAUAACCAAAUAAAUUGAUUCCUUUGUUCCAUGUACAUCUAAAAAUUAAUCAAAACAAUAAAUAAUAAAAAUAACUACCAAUAAAUAUCCAAUAAGCCAGACAAAUUAUCAUCAUCAUUAUACAAAAUGGAAAUUAUAAAAAUAAUAAUAAUCCUAAGUGGCUCAAGCAAACAAAAAAUACCUAGUUCCAGCAUCUUCCGGCGGGAGCAGCAGCACCAGCGGCAGUCUUCGAUCGCGAGCAGUUCCAGUCGCUUCCAGCGGCGCGCACGACGCACGAGCAGCAGCACAGUCGCGGUAUCGAUCGCGAUCGCAAGCAGUUCCAGCAGCAGCUUCCGGCGGCGCGCACGACGCAAGAGCAGCAGCACCACCUUCCUGCAGCUUCCGGCGAUUAGUAUGAGUGUGUGUGUUAAAGGUUUGUAAGAUCUGGAAAGUGUG